UGUCGCUGAGGAACACAUUUAAUAACACUUCAGAACUGAACUGAAACGUGGCACAAACAUGACAACUUCCAGGGACAAAUCUGAUGCUUUCCUCAAACCACAUUAAGCUUCCAGUUCAAAUCCCAAGCCAACCUUGUGACCUCCUGCACUGAAGUUCUUCCCAUCGAUUAAAGCUGAUAAAGUCAAUUUGACUCCUAGGAAGAAGAAAACACCACAAUCACUUGAAACAAGUAUUACAAUUAGAUCUGAACUUUCUAGAAACAACAGAUGGAAUCAAUGGUGUGGAUUGUAGCUGGGUAUACGAGCUAUAAGCAAACAGCUAUUACUCAAUCGGUUAUUUAUAACUAUCUGAUGUGUAAUGAGGAAAGCAUGAUCAUGGCAAACUUUCUCUGAAGUUCAGGGUUAAGGGCAAUGAGUGAUCAACCAAACUCAAAGGCCAAAGUGACCACAUUAUAGUCAGAAAUACAUACUUUUUUAAUGCAAAAGUAUUUGAUCUGUAUUGUUUUCUGUCUGAACAACCAAAUGUUACAAAAUGGUCCAAAUCAACUUACAGUGACUACAGGUUGUUCUGCAGGUUAUUUUCAUUGUUUUCUCUAUCACCUUCCACCUCAACCCCUCUGUUACUAAUUCCUUUACUUACCUGGUCGAAGGGUCUGAGUAUAACCCAGUCCAAUCAGGCUGGCAUUAUUUACUUUAGCCUAAGAUUAAGAGAUAGAAUAAUAACAGAAAACAGUGAAUUACAGAUCAGUCCAAUAUAACCAUCACUUUGUGCAUUAGGUUUCCAAUGCUAAAAGCACCCUAGGGCCAAUCUAGAAUUACUGAUUUUUUUUUUUUUUUUUUUUGAGAUGAAGUUUUGUUCUUGUCACCCAGGCUGCAGUGCGAUGGCACGAUCUCGGCUCACUGCAACCUCCGCUUCCCGGGUCCAAGCCAUUCUCCUGCCUCAGCCUCCCAAGUAGCUGGGAUUACAGGCAUGCGCCCCCAUGCCCGGCUAAUUUUGUAUUUUUAGUAGAGACGGGGUUUCACCAUGUUGGCCAGGCUGGUCUCAAACUCCUGACCUCAGGUGAUCCCCUGCCUCAGCCUCCCAAAGUGCUGGGAUUACAGGCGUGACCCACCGUGCCCAGCCGGAAUUACUGAUUAAGAAGUCAGUAGGACUUGUAGGGGUAGGACGUACCCUGAGAAUGCAUGCUUCAAGGCCUCAAGCAAAAUUUUUAAACACUACACAACCAAACACCCUGAAUUCUCUGAGAUACCAGCUGACAAUCUCUCACAGUGGUUACGGCAUGAACUUGGGUGACAGAAAAACAGACCUAGGUUCAAUUGUGGCACUGCCAGUUACUAUGUGACCUUAGGCAAGUUAGCUGACCUUUCUAAGGCUCAGUUUUCUCAUCUGUAAAACAGGGAUGAGGAUAACACUAAUCGCCACAUGGAGUGGUUGUGAGCGUUAAAUGACAUAAUAUACAUAAAGCCCUUAGCACAGUACAUGAAAUUUAACAGCUCAGUGUUAUUUUUAGUAAGAGUUACUAUAGCAACAGAAAUAGUCAUCUAAUCCCAUGAAUUUCCAAAUAAGAAAAUUCUGAGGCCAAAGUGAUAAAAUGACAAGGUCAGACAACAGAUAUACAGGAAGAGCUAGGACUAGAAGAACCCCUAUUUCCUGACGUCAAGCAUAAUUUUUUUUUUUUUUUUUUUUGAGAUAGGCUCUCGCUCUGUCACCCAGGCUGGAGUGCAAUGGUGUGAUCUUGGCUCACUGCAACCUCUCCAUCUGCAGGGUUCAAGCAAUUCUCCUGCCUCAGCCUCCCUAGUAGCUGGGACUACAGGCGUCACCUACCACGCCCACCUAAUUUUUGUAUUUUUAGUAAAGACAGGGUUUCACCUUGUUGGCUAGGCUGGUCUUGAACUCCUGACCUCAGGUGAUUCAUGCACCUUGGCCUCCCAAAGUGCUGGGAAUACAGGCGUGAGCCUGGCCACAUUAUAUUCCUUUCACUACACAAUGAGCUGGCUUAUUAAAAUUAAUAAAGAACAAGCAAACUACACUCAUAUCACAACAUUCUCUGAAAACUUAGACACAAACAUAAGAGCAGAUCCAAUCUGGCAGCACAUUCUUACAGAGAGAGAAGUUCUACAAUCCAGCAUGUACUUAGCAGCAAUGCCAAAACGGGUGUUGUUACUCCCAGCUGUCCAA
Molecule: long non-coding RNA, 2179 nt
Filed under: Homo sapiens (human)
Lineage: Eukaryota; Metazoa; Chordata; Mammalia; Primates; Hominidae
Description: HSALNT0136102
Source: RNAcentral